GUUCUCACUUUGGCAGCAUAUAUAUUAAAAUCGGAGUGACAGAGAAGAUUUAGCAUGGCCCCUACACAAGGAUGACAUGCAAAUUCAUGAAGCAUUCCAUAUUUUU
Molecule: small nuclear RNA, 106 nt
Organism: Ailuropoda melanoleuca (giant panda)
Lineage: Eukaryota; Metazoa; Chordata; Mammalia; Carnivora; Ursidae
Source: Ensembl